Molecule: transfer RNA, 74 nt
Filed under: Elusimicrobiota bacterium
Lineage: Bacteria; Pseudomonadati; Elusimicrobiota
Description: Elusimicrobia bacterium (groundwater metagenome) tRNA-Val
Rfam family: tRNA
About the family: Transfer RNA (tRNA) molecules are approximately 80 nucleotides in length. Their secondary structure includes four short double-helical elements and three loops (D, anti-codon, and T loops).
Source: RNAcentral
GCGCGUGUAGCUCAGUUGGUUAGAGCGCCUGCUUCACAUGUAGGAGGUCUCUGGUUCGAGUCCAGACACGCGCA